This 31-nucleotide non-coding RNA is filed under the name Homo sapiens (human). The record is from RNAcentral. Lineage: Eukaryota; Metazoa; Chordata; Mammalia; Primates; Hominidae.
AAAGAAGGCAUUAAACAGAGCUUUUAAAGGU